Chinchilla lanigera (long-tailed chinchilla) is the source of this 2801-nucleotide long non-coding RNA. Lineage: Eukaryota; Metazoa; Chordata; Mammalia; Rodentia; Chinchillidae. The record is from Ensembl.
CCGGAAAUAAGAUUCUAUUAUCUGAGGAGCUGCCGCAGCUGCCAAUGGCGCUGCGAAGCCCGGAAGUUCAGGAUGGCUGCCGCAGAGACCCAGGCGCUGCGGGAGCCCGAUGCUCAUCUUCGGGCUGCUGGCACUGAAAAAGAUUUCAAAGAGAAUCCCAACCUCAGAGAUAACUGGACUGAUGCAGAAGGCUGUUAUCGUGUGAACAUAGGUGAAGUCUUAGAUAAACAUUACAAUGUGUAUGGCUAUAUCGGGCAAGGUGUAUUCAGCAGUGCUGUGCGAGCCAGAGAUAAUGCAAGAGCCAACCAAGAAGUGGCUGUGAAGAUCAUCAGGAACAAUGAGCUCAUGCAAAAGGUUGGUUUAAAAGAACUGGAGUUCCUGAAAAAACUUAACAAUGCCAAUCCUAAUGACAAGUUCCACUGUCUGCGGCUCUUCAGACACUUCUAUCAUGAGCAGCAUCUCUGACUCGUAUUUGAGCUUCUCAGUAUGAAUUUACGAGAGGUAUUAAAAAAUACAGUAAGGAUGUUGGUCUUCAUAUUAAAGCUGUAAGAUCUUACAGUCAGCAGCUGUUCCUGGCAUUGAAACUCCUUAAAAGGUGCAACAUCCUACAUGCAGAUAUCAAGCUGGACAACAUUCUGGUUAAUGAAUCAAAAAUGAUUUUAAAGCUCUGUGAUUUUGGGUUGGCUUCCCACAUCAUGGAUAAUGACAUAACACCUUAUCUUGUCAGUAGAUUUUGUUGGGCUCCUGAGAUCAUUAUAGGUAAAAGCUGUGACUGUGGCAUAGAUAUGUGGUCUGUAGGCUGUACCCUGGUAAAACCAAUAACCACAUGUUGAAGCUUGCCAUGGAUCUCAAAGGAAAGAUGCCAAAUAAGAUCAUUUGGAAAGAUGUAUUCAAAGAUCAGCAUUUUGAUCAAAAUCUCAACUUCAUGUACAUAGAAGUUGAUAAAGUAAGAGAGAGGGAGAAAGUUAUGGUCAUGAGCACCAUUAAUCCUCCUAAGGACCUAUUGGCUGACUUGAUUGGGUGCCAGCAAUUUCCUGAAGACAAACAUAAGAAAGUAUACCAGCUGAACGGCUUGUUGGACCAGAUUGUAAUGUUGGACCCAGAUAAAUGAAUUAGCAUCACCCAGGCCCUACAGCAUGCAUUCAUCCAGGAAAAAAUUUAACAAGAUGAAGAAACUGCAAAGGUUUGAGUAAUUAAAUACAAAGACUGAAGAAAUUUCACAGCAGUUUAUUAUUAAUGUAUAUAAACUUACAAAUAUAUCUCCAGCAAAUUUGAGGAAGCAUGAUGUAUUUGAAUUAUCACCAAGGGUGAUACUUCUUUUAGAAAUGUUAGUUAAUCUGUUUUGUGUCUUAUGUGCAGUUUCACUGUAGAACUGUUUUAAUUGCCAAGACUAUAGAAAAUUAUAGUGCUAGUGUAUAUGGUUGCAGUUCACAUAAAAGACAAAAACAUCUAUUAUAAAAUGAGUAGUAAUACUGGGUGGUUGAUUCAUUUUUAGCAGACUUGGCUUCAUUUUGGUCUUCAGAUGAAAUGGCCAGCAUAAAUGCUGUUUAUAUUCACGUUUUCCUAGAGGUGUGUGUGUGUGUGUGUGCAGGCCACGGCAGCAUGCCCUGGGUAUAGUCAGUGUUGAAGGGGGUCUGUUUCUUAGCCUGCCUACAGGGAUGUCUCCUUUUUUAAAGCAGGUUGUGCACAUUUAGUGCACUGAAGGUAAGCUACCAUCAACAUCACUGGUGUUUUAAGGUGUUCUUUUAUUGGAAUAAUUGACAAGUGAGGGAUCUUAGCUUUGUGACAGAAUUCCCUGCAUGUGUGAUAACUGACUUUGUUUUAAUUUUGGCAUUGCAGCUGUGGUGUAGUUACAACUUCUGUUUUGUUCAUCACUUUUAAAAUUUGGAGAGUGUAUGUGCUUGAUGGAUAGAGUGCCUUCAGUGUACUGUUUCUUCUUUACUUUUUAAAAAUCAUCUUGCUAUGGACUUAAUAUACAUUUUGUUAAAUACAGUUCCUAGUGACAUAGAAACAAAAGCAAUUUUCAUUUACUAAUUACAAAUGUUGAGGCCUAAAUUCUGAAAGUCCUCAUAUUUAAAGGUUAGAUAGACAACAUAAUGAAAAUUUUAACUAUUUGUAUGUCAUUUUGAAAGUGUACUGCUUUAUGGUAACAGUGUUUUUCAUUCGUUCAUAGUUUUCAUUAUUUGUGAUCAUUUGUCUUUCAGCAUAGGCAUACACUUUCUACUCUUGAACAAAGCAGCUGCUUUUUAAAAGUGGUAAUUGCUUGUUUACUUUUUAUUUCUUUUGUAAAUGAAGCUUUUCUUUAAGAAUGUGACCUUAACGUGUUGUCUAUUGCAUAAAACAGUUGACACUCACUUAUUGUAAAGUGAAGAUUAUUCUACUGCAUGUGAAGUGGACCAUGCAGAUUUCUGUAUGUUCUCAGUAUGCAUCACUAGAUAAUAGUCUUUUGUGAACAAGGGCACAAAACAAUUCUGUAGAGCUAAUUAUUCCUGAAUUCAUUUUUGUACCUUUUCUGUCUUAUAUCAUCAAGAUAAAUACCUAGAAGGAGUAAUUAAAAAUUCUCAUUGAUGAAAAAGAUGAUGUACUAUGUAUUCUCUAUAGUAUCUAAUUUUUUUCAAUCAAAAGCUUCCUGUUACAUUCAGGCUUUGCUCUAUGAUCAUCAUGCAUGCAUCUUAUUCUCCCCCUUAUUUAAUUUUUCUCUGAGUAAGCACCUGCUGAGCACCAAGGAGCAGAAGGGGCAGAGUGAACUGUUCAGUGCUGCUAGCUUUUCCUCAUCUUUAUGCUCUUGGGAUGGUCACCUG